AGAGUUUGAUCAUGGCUCAGAUUGAACGCUGGCGGCAGGCCUAACACAUGCAAGUCGAACGGUAACAGGAAACAGCUUGCUGUUUCGCUGACGAGUGGCGGACGGGGGAGUAAUGUCUGGGAAACUGCCUGAUGGAGGGGGAUAACUACUGGAAACGGUAGCUAAUACCGCAUAACGUCGCAAGACCAAAGAGGGGGACCUUCGGGCCUCUUGCCAUCGGAUGUGCCCAGAUGGGAUUAGCUUGUUGGUGGGGUAACGGCUCACCAAGGCGACGAUCCCUAGCUGGUCUGAGAGGAUGACCAGCCACACUGGAACUGAGACACGGUCCAGACUCCUACGGGAGGCAGCAGUGGGGAAUAUUGCACAAUGGGCGCAAGCCUGAUGCAGCCAUGCCGCGUGUAUGAAGAAGGCCUUCGGGUUGUAAAGUACUUUCAGCGGGGAGGAAGGGAGUAAAGUUAAUACCUUUGCUCAUUGACGUUACCCGCAGAAGAAGCACCGGCUAACUCCGUGCCAGCAGCCGCGGUAAUACGGAGGGUGCAAGCGUUAAUCGGAAUUACUGGGCGUAAAGCGCACGCAGGCGGUUUGUUAAGUCAGAUGUGAAAUCCCCGGGCUCAACCUGGGAACUGCAUCUGAUACUGGCAAGCUUGAGUCUCGUAGAGGGGGGUAGAAUUCCAGGUGUAGCGGUGAAAUGCGUAGAGAUCUGGAGGAAUACCGGUGGCGAAGGCGGCCCCCUGGACGAAGACUGACGCUCAGGUGCGAAAGCGUGGGGAGCAAACAGGAUUAGAUACCCUGGUAGUCCACGCCGUAAACGAUGUCGACUUGGAGGUUGUGCCCUUGAGGCGUGGCUUCCGGAGCUAACGCGUUAAGUCGACCGCCUGGGGAGUACGGCCGCAAGGUUAAAACUCAAAUGAAUUGACGGGGGCCCGCACAAGCGGUGGAGCAUGUGGUUUAAUUCGAUGCAACGCGAAGAACCUUACCUGGUCUUGACAUCCACGGAAGUUUUCAGAGAUGGAUUGGUGCCUUCGGGAACCGUGAGACAGGUGCUGCAUGGCUGUCGUCAGCUCGUGUUGUGAAAUGUUGGGUUAAGUCCCGCAACGAGCGCAACCCUUAUCCUUUGUUGCCAGCGGUCCGGCCGGGAACUCAAAGGAGACUGCCAGUGAUAAACUGGAGGAAGGUGGGGAUGACGUCAAGUCAUCAUGGCCCUUACGACCAGGGCUACACACGUGCUACAAUGGCGCAUACAAAGAGAAGCGACCUCGCGAGAGCAAGCGGACCUCAUAAAGUGCGUCGUAGUCCGGAUUGGAGUCUGCAACUCGACUCCAUGAAGUCGGAAUCGCUAGUAAUCGUGGAUCAGAAUGCCACGGUGAAUACGUUCCCGGGCCUUGUACACACCGCCCGUCACACCAUGGGAGUGGGUUGCAAAAGAAGUAGGUAGCUUAACCUUCGGGAGGGCGCUUACCACUUUGUGAUUCAUGACUGGGGUGAAGUCGUAACAAGGUAACCGUAGGGGAACCUGCGGUUGGAUCACCU
RNAcentral lists this ribosomal RNA (1530 nucleotides) under Escherichia coli KTE14. RNAcentral's name for it is "bacterial SSU rRNA". It matches the Rfam family "Bacterial small subunit ribosomal RNA". Lineage: Bacteria; Pseudomonadati; Pseudomonadota; Gammaproteobacteria; Enterobacterales; Enterobacteriaceae. The record is from RNAcentral.